GAUGAAGAACGUAGCGAAAUGCGAUAAGUAAUGUGAAUUGCAGAAUUCAGUGAAUCAUCGAAUCUUUGAACGCACAUUGCGCUCUCUGGUAUUCCGGAGAGCAUGCUUGUUUGAGUAUCAGUAAACACCUCAACUCCCCUUUCUUUUUUUGAAAUGGGAGCUGGACUUGAGUGAUCCCAACGCUUUUCUCACCGAAAAGUGGCGGGUUACUUGAAAUGCAGGUGCAGCUGGACUUUUCUCUGAGCUAAAAGCAUAUCUAUUUAGUCUGCCUAAAAAACAGAUUAUUACCUUUGCUGCAGCUAACAUAAAGGAGAUUAGUUCUUGUGCUGACUGAUGCAGGAUUCACAGAGACAGCUUCGGCUGGCCUUUGUAAACUCGAUCUCAAAUCAAGUAAGACUACCCGCUGAACUUAAGCAUAUCAAUAAGCGGAGGA
This 433-nucleotide unclassified non-coding RNA is filed under the name soil metagenome. RNAcentral describes it as "partial contains 5.8S ribosomal RNA, internal transcribed spacer 2, and large subunit ribosomal RNA". The stretch from base 1 to 120 matches the Rfam family "5.8S ribosomal RNA", at positions 35 to 154 of the family's 154-position model. The record is from RNAcentral.